AGAACUCAUGGAGGAUGGAUGAGGACCCAGGGAAUUACAGAACAGUCAGCCUAACUUUGACACCUGGAAAGAUGCUGGAAUUAAGCAAACAAUUGAUUUGUAAGCACAGAGAGAAUAACAGGAAAUUAAAGAAAUCUAAUUGCUGUGGAGGAAGUAAUGACUGAAUUUGUGCCAGACUAAUUUCACCUGCUUGCUGAAAGACAAGCUUCUAAUAAUUCUUUUUAAGUUAUGCCAAUACUAAAAUGCACCUGAGGCCUCAUGACAGCAAGAAUACUGCAAGUCUCUUUAUACAGCAAGAGAGAUUUCUACAUUGUACAGAGGACAGCUAGCUUGAAAGGAUGUGAAAGGACAGUGACCCCAAACUAAAUUUGGGGGGAGAUUGAAGUGAUAUUAUUGUGAAAAGGGGGCACACCCUGGGGAAGAGGCAAGAUCUAUGACUGCACCUGAUGGCAUCUGACCUCCAAUAGCCAAUGGAGAAUGAGUAUUGGGGAUGGCAAGAGGGCAGACCUUCACUGCUUAUCCAGGACACCUAAGAAGUGGCUGGGAAUGUCUUCUGUGAUCCUUGAUUAAACACAAAAUUGCACCAGAUGCAGACCUAGUCAGUCCCACCCAUACUUUCAUAACUAACAUGCUGGACUAGUCAACGUGUUCUACCUAGAAUUGACUGCAAAAGCUACAGCCAAUUCCAUCACGUUGCAGUCAGAAUCCUAAAUGGAGGAAACAAACAAAGCAUGUCUUUAUCAACUCCCCAUUUAAAUCCAAAUCCAUUUAAGGGUAUUGGCCCUAAUCUCUAAAAUUCUGGAAGGGAAAAGCAUAAACUCUCCCCAAAUCCAUCUCUUCCUUUGUUACCUGCUGUGAUAGUUAUGAUCAACAGGAAAGGAGAUUACAGCACCUGGAUUACUCCUGCAAGUGUACUUCUGAAAUAACCCCACUCAGCAUACCAGCUAACUCAAGGGAAGGGAGAAGAGUCUGGGAUGUGUACCUGAUGAGUUACAGAUCUUUACACACACACACACACACACACACCCCAACAAAUAUAUUGAUAUUUACUCUCACCAGCAAUUCAUUUUUACCUUUAAGAUUUCAGGCUUAGUUAUUCUCAUAAAACACGUCUGGGUGAAGAGACGAAAGAAAGCCUCCUUCACAAAGUAUGA
Mauremys mutica (yellowpond turtle) is the source of this 1154-nucleotide long non-coding RNA. RefSeq lists it as uncharacterized. The record is from RefSeq and is a predicted model, not a curated record. The transcript is spliced from 3 exons. NCBI's taxonomy places the organism in Eukaryota, Metazoa, Chordata, Testudines, Geoemydidae.